CUCUCAGACAGACAGGUAGAGAGACUGUGCUCCGAGAGGUGGAAGGUGAGACAGGCACUCAGACAGACAGGUAGAGAGACUGUGCUCCGAGAGGUGGAAGGUGAGACAGGCUCUCAGACAGACAGGUAGAGAGACUGUGCUCCGAGAGGUGGAAGGUGAGACAGGCACUCAGACAGACAGGUAGAGAGACUGUGCUCCGAGAGGUGGAAGGUGAGACAGGCACUCAGACAGACAGGU
Molecule: long non-coding RNA, 237 nt
Organism: Gymnodraco acuticeps
Lineage: Eukaryota; Metazoa; Chordata; Actinopteri; Perciformes; Bathydraconidae
Exons: 3
Source: RefSeq, a predicted model, not a curated record